GUUCGGAUUGUAGGCUGCAACUCGCCUACAUGAAGUCGGAAUCGCUAGUAAUCGCGGAUCAGCAUGCCGCGGUGAAUACGUUCCCGGGCCUUGUACACACCGCCCGUCACACCAUGAGAGUUUGUAACACCCAAAGCCGGUGGGGUAACCUUUUGGAGCCAGCCGUCUAAGGUGGGACAGAUGAUUGGGGUGAAGUCGUAACAAGGUAAC
RNAcentral lists this ribosomal RNA (210 nucleotides) under uncultured bacterium. RNAcentral describes it as "partial 16S ribosomal RNA". It matches the Rfam family "Bacterial small subunit ribosomal RNA", at positions 1291 to 1500 of the family's 1533-position model. The record is from RNAcentral.